RNAcentral lists this ribosomal RNA (455 nucleotides) under uncultured bacterium. Its description in RNAcentral is "bacterial SSU rRNA". It matches the Rfam family "Bacterial small subunit ribosomal RNA", at positions 914 to 1364 of the family's 1533-position model. The record is from RNAcentral.
CGGGGGCCCGCACAAGCGGAGGAGCAUGUGGUUUAAUUCGAUGAUACGCGAGGAACCUUACCCGGGCUUAAAUGUAGCGUGCAUUCCCGAGAAAUCGGGAUUUCCUUCGGGACCCGCUACAAGGUGCUGCAUGGUUGUCGUCAGCUCGUGCCGUGAGGUGUCGGGUUAAGUCCCAUAACGAGCGCAACCCCUAUCUUUAGUUGCCAGUCCCGGCUUGUCCGGGAGGGACUCUAAAGAAACUGCCCGCGCAAGCGGUGAGGAAGGUGGGGAUGACGUCAAAUCAGCACGGCCCUUAUGUCCGGGGCUACACACGUGCUACAAUGGCCGGUACAGUGGGCAGCUCAUGCGCGAGCAUUUGCUAAUCCCUAAAACCGGUCUCAGUCCGGAUCGGAGUCUGCAACCCGACUCCGUGAAGCUGGAUUCGCUAGUAAUCGCACAUCAGCCAUGGUGCGGUG